Condylostylus longicornis is the source of this 579-nucleotide long non-coding RNA. RefSeq lists it as uncharacterized. The record is from RefSeq and is a predicted model, not a curated record. The transcript has 5 exons. NCBI's taxonomy places the organism in Eukaryota, Metazoa, Arthropoda, Insecta, Diptera, Dolichopodidae.
UUUAUUAUUGAAUAAUGGAAAGUGAUUUUUAUCACUGAAUUUUUGAACAUAUUCCUAUUGCCAUUCAUUCAAAAUAAAAUUUUAUUUUAUUUUAUUUACAAGGACAAUCGAAUAAAAAUAUAUACUUAAUACAAAAGAAUAAAUUUAAGGAUUAAAAAUAAUUUAUUAUAUUUGAUUAAAAAAUAAAAAGGAGAAAAAAGAUUUAAAAACGAAUACCACCAAAAUUUUACGUAUUUUAAUAAAAUGAGAAGGCUGAUAUAUUUGCCGAAAAAUCUUUCAUAGCGAAAAAAGGUAAGUUUCUUUAAUUUUGGAACCGAAAAUGAAAUGUAUGGCUAAUAAAUAGAGUAAGUACUGUUUAAAGUAAAUAAAAGUUAUGGUCAUUCGGAAUAUCGCAAUCAAAAAAUUUUUCAGUAUCUCCCUUGAAGAUAGAAAGCUGAAAUUUAAUACGUACAUAGAUCUUUACUAGAAACUUAUUUCCGUAGAGCAAAAUUUUACCUAUCUCCCCCGAUCUAGAAGUUUUAGGGGCAUUUAAACAAUUACAAAUAGUUCAUUUCAUUAGAAGAAAAUUUUUUUCCAUGU